GCUAUUAUACAUAAAUAUUAAUAGUAGUAUUAAUACAAGGGUCUUCACUUGCAUCCUACACAUACUCUUUCCUGUGUCAGGUAUGCCAUUCAUCUGUGAGAGGCAUUCUUCCUAGUUGGCCGGGAGAGACAGAGUAAGAGCUACCUAUAAACCAUAACUGAGGGGUGCUAGUGAGGGGUUCUGCCCCCUAACUGCCCAUUAUGCUGAAAUUCCUGCAUUAUAAAAUAAUCCUUUGGGUCUGGAAAGCUUAUCUUUUAUUUAAGAUGUUCUUGCUUUUCCUCCCUGACUGUCUGAAGAUAGGCCGCCAUCAUCAACACCGUAACUGUCCGCACUUCAAAGUUCAUGACCAACCGACUACUUCAGAGGAAACAAAUGGUCAUCGAUGUCCUUCACCCCGGGAAGGCAACAGUGCCUAAGACAGAAAUUCGGGAAAAACUAGCCAAAAUGUACAAGACCACACUGGAUGUCAUCUUUGUAUUUGGAUUCAGAACUCAUUUUGGUGGUGGCAAGACAACUGGCUUUGGCAUGAUUUAUGACUCCCUGGAUUAUGCAAAGAAAAAGGAACCCAAACAUAGACUUGCAAGACAUGGCCUGUAUGAGAAGAAAAAGACCUCAAGAAAGCAACAAAAGGAACGCAAGAACAGAAUGAAGAAAGUCAGGGGGACUGCAAAGGCCAAUGUUGGUGCUGGCAAAAAGUGAGCUGGAGAUUGGAUCACAGCCGAAAGAGUAAAGGUGCUGCAGUAAAAGGCUACCUGUGUCCAUUAUGGAUUUUUCACGAGCAGAUUAAUAAACUAAAAACUUUCAUGUGGAGAAAAAAAAAAAAAAAAAA
RNA transcript from Cercocebus atys (sooty mangabey), 829 nucleotides. It is a transcript of the gene named 40S ribosomal protein S24 pseudogene, with no coding region annotated. NCBI's taxonomy places the organism in Eukaryota, Metazoa, Chordata, Mammalia, Primates, Cercopithecidae. The record is from RefSeq and is a predicted model, not a curated record. The transcript has a single exon.